CCAUACACAUAGACACAAACAUUUUGUUGGCACAGUUUGUAGAGGACAACAUUUAGGGUUAUAAACCAUGACUUCCUCUCUUAGUAAAUUCUACACCAUAUUCAUCUUGAUCUUGCUUUGUCUUGUAUUUCUCCUUAUUUUCACAUGGGAGGUGGAAGCAAAACUUUGUGGUAAGCCAAAUAGAACAUUGUCAAGCCCAUGUAUUGACUCAGUGUGCUAUGCAAAGUGCAUCGACUCGGACUUGGAUGCAGUAUCUGGUUCUUGUGAAGGCUUUUUUACUUCUGAAUGCUUUUGUUACUACGAAUGUUGAGAAAUGAGUUUUCCUUCGAGCAAUUUCUGCCUUUGACAUUUUUGUCAAAUUUAAAAUACUCUCUAUAGUCUCACAUAUACAUAAGUACUAGCAUAAAUGACCCGUGACAAGAGCAUGUUAGUUUUUUAUAUAAAAAUGUAGAUCAUUUUGGACUAUCAUGUGAAAUUCUAUUUAUAUUAUGUAAAAUUUAAAAUGUAAUGAAUAAACCGUUGGAACA
Long non-coding RNA from Medicago truncatula (barrel medic), 527 nucleotides. RefSeq lists it as uncharacterized. Lineage: Eukaryota; Viridiplantae; Streptophyta; Magnoliopsida; Fabales; Fabaceae. The transcript is spliced from 2 exons. The record is from RefSeq and is a predicted model, not a curated record.